Molecule: ribosomal RNA, 469 nt
Filed under: uncultured bacterium
Lineage: Bacteria
Description: bacterial LSU rRNA
Rfam family: Bacterial large subunit ribosomal RNA
Source: RNAcentral
CUGCGUACCUUUUGUAUAAUGGGUCAGCGACUUACGUUCAGUUGCGAGCUUAACCGAAUAGGGGAGGCGCAGCGAAAGCGAGUCUGAACAGGGCGUUCAGUAGCUGGGCGUAGACCCGAAACCGGAUGAUCUAUCCAUGGCCAGGUUGAAGGUGCGGUAACACGCACUGGAGGACCGAACCCACUAGUGUUGCAAAACUAGGGGAUGAGCUGUGGAUAGGGGUGAAAGGCUAAACAAAUCCGGAGAUAGCUGGUUUUCCUCGAAAGCUAUUUAGGUAGCGCCUCGUGUAUCACUCUCGGGGGUAGAGCACUGUAAUGGUUGGGGGGGUCUUCUAGACCUACCCCGCCAUAGCAAACUCCGAAUACCGAGAAGUGCGAGCACGGGAGACAGACGGUGGGUGCUAACGUCCAUCGUCAAGAGGGAAACAACCCAGACCCACAGCUAAGGUCCCCAAUGAUGUGCUAAGUGG